Molecule: transfer RNA, 63 nt
Filed under: Munidopsis verrilli
Lineage: Eukaryota; Metazoa; Arthropoda; Malacostraca; Decapoda; Munidopsidae
Description: tRNA-Gly
Source: RNAcentral
AUUUUUUUAGUAUACCUGUACAUUUAGCUUCCAACUAAAAAGACUAAUUUUUUAGAAAAAAUA